Molecule: ribosomal RNA, 302 nt
Filed under: uncultured Prevotella sp.
Lineage: Bacteria; Pseudomonadati; Bacteroidota; Bacteroidia; Bacteroidales; Prevotellaceae
Description: bacterial SSU rRNA
Rfam family: Bacterial small subunit ribosomal RNA
Source: RNAcentral
UGAGGAAUAUUGGUCAAUGGGCGAGAGCCUGAACCAGCCAAGUAGCGUGCAGGAUGACGGCCCUAUGGGUUGUAAACUGCUUUUAUGCGGGGAUAACGUGCACCACGUGUGGUGUAUUGCAGGUACCGCAUGAAUAAGGACCGGCUAAUUCCGUGCCAGCAGCCGCGGUAAUACGGAAGGUCCGGGCGUUAUCCGGAUUUAUUGGGUUUAAAGGGAGCGUAGGCCGCUGUUUAAGCGUGUUGUGAAAAACCGGGGCUCAACUCCGGUCGUGCAGCGCGAACUGGAUUAGAUACCCUGGUAGU